AGCAUGUGGUUUAAUUCGAAGCAACGCGAAGAACCUUACCAGGUCUUGACAUCCCCUGACAACCCAAGAGAUCGGGCGUUCCCCGUUCGGGGGGCAGGGUGACAGGUGGUGCAUGGUUGUCGUCAGCUCGUGUCGUGAGAUGUUGGGUUAAGUCCCGCAACGAGCGCAACCCUCGACCUUAGUUGCCAGCAUUCAGUUGGGCACUCUAAGGUGACUGCGGCUAAAGUCGGAGGAAGGUGGGGAUGACGUCAAAUCAUCAUGCCCCUUAUGACCUGGGCUACACACGUGCUACAAUGGGCGGUACAAAGGGUCGCGAACCCGCGAGGGGGAGCCAAUCCCAAAAAGCCGCUCUCAGUUCGGAUUGCAGGCUGCAACUCGCCUGCAUGAAGCCGGAAUCGCUAGUAAUCGCGGAUCAGCAUGCCGCGGUGAAUACGUUCCCGGGCCUU
This 446-nucleotide ribosomal RNA is filed under the name uncultured Anoxybacillus sp. Its description in RNAcentral is "bacterial SSU rRNA". It matches the Rfam family "Bacterial small subunit ribosomal RNA", at positions 936 to 1382 of the family's 1533-position model. Lineage: Bacteria; Bacillati; Bacillota; Bacilli; Caryophanales; Anoxybacillaceae. The record is from RNAcentral.